Molecule: long non-coding RNA, 1119 nt
Filed under: Cyanistes caeruleus (blue tit)
Lineage: Eukaryota; Metazoa; Chordata; Aves; Passeriformes; Paridae
Description: lncRNA (ENSCCEG00000007958.1)
Source: RNAcentral
AUGGUGCUCACCACGGAACCACAUCCUCAAAGUGCCACAUCCACAGGGCUCUGGGCACCUCCAGGGAUCCACCACUGCCCUGGGCUGCCCCUUCCAAGGUCUGAAAACCCUUUCCAGGGAGAAAUUUUUCUUAAUAUCCAAUCUAAAUCUCCUCCUGUCCCUGUUCCUUGGGAGCAGAACCUGACACCCCUCUCCUGUCAGGGACUUGUGCAGAGCCAGAAAUUCCCCCUGAGCCUCCUUUGCUCCAGCCUGAGCCCCUUCCCAGCUCCCUCAGGAAUUCUCCAGCCCCUUCCCAGCUCCCUCAGGAAUUCUCCAGCCCCUUCCCAUCUCCCUCAGGAAUUCUCCAGCUCCUUCCCAUCUCCCUCAGGGAUUCUCCAGCCCCUUCCCAGCUCCCUCAGCAAUUCUCCAGCCCCUUCCCCAGCUCUGUUCCCUUCCCUGGACACUCUCCAGCCCCUCAAUCUCUUUCUUGUCAUGAGGGCCCCAGAACUGACCCCAGAUUUGAGGUCCCUCAGCAGAGUCAGCAUGGAGCACAAUCCCUGCCCUGGUCCUGUGGCCACAGCAGGGCUGGCCCCAGCCAGGUUCCACCUGGGCUCACCUGGGCUCACAGGUCACAAUGACAAAAGGAAUGUGAUGGUCACAGACACAGGAGGGGCUGUGACACCUCAGCAGAGCACCAGGAGGUUUAAGAAGAGCCCAGAGGUGGCACCGAGUGCCAGAAGGUGGUGGCGGGUCAUCUCAAAAGGAGGAAUCCCACAGAGCAAUGCCCUGUGAGCAUUGAUCCCCACUGAAAAAUGAUGGGAAUGGGAACCACCAGAGGAAUCAGAUCCUUCCUGCAGCGCUCCCACCAGCUGGGGAAGAGCUGUCACCCCCCAAAGCCAGGCUCGGCUCCUCCCAAACCCAACUUGGUGCCUUUAAAACCCAGGGAUGGGAGCUGAGGAAUGUGGAAGGGCUUGGAAGAGAGACAGGAGAUAUCAGCCCUUCGGAGGAGCCGGUUGCCAUGGAGACAGGCUCGUUUAACCCAAUCAGGGUCAGGCAACCCUUUGUGUUCGAGCUAAUUUAAUUAAAGACGUGGAGGAUGAGCGAAAUAAAUUGGCCCAGAGCUCACCUUGGGGUGGUGUC